RNAcentral lists this ribosomal RNA (253 nucleotides) under uncultured bacterium. RNAcentral describes it as "partial 16S ribosomal RNA". It matches the Rfam family "Bacterial small subunit ribosomal RNA", at positions 524 to 776 of the family's 1533-position model. The record is from RNAcentral.
UACGUAGGUGGCAAGCGUUGUCCGGAUUUACUGGGCGUAAAGGGCGUGCAGGCGGUCUGUUAAGUUCAGGGUGAAAGCUCCCGGCUCAACUGGGAGAGGUCCUUGGAUACUGGCAGACUUGAGGGAGGUAGAGGAUAGUGGAAUUCCUGGUGUAGCGGUGAAAUGCGUAGAUAUCAGGAGGAACACCGGUGGUGUAGACGGCUAUCUGGACCGUAACUGACGCUGAGGCACGAAAGCGUGGGUAGCAAACAGG